GGGCGAAUGGUCUAGGGGUAUGAUACUCCCUUCGCAUUCUUCGGAGUUCUUCUCCGGACAUAUGAGUAUGGGAGGGGUCCGGGGUUCAAUUCCCCGUUCGUCCA
Molecule: non-coding RNA, 104 nt
Organism: Xylaria sp. CBS 124048
Lineage: Eukaryota; Fungi; Ascomycota; Sordariomycetes; Xylariales; Xylariaceae
Source: the annotation of a GenBank genome assembly